AUUGAACGCUGGCGGCAUGCUUUACACAUGCAAGUCGAACGGCAGCACAGGGAGUUUGCUCCUGGGUGGCGAGUGGCGAACGGGUGAGUAAUGUAUCGGAACGUGCCUGGUAGUGGGGGAUAACUACUCGAAAGAGUGGCUAAUACCGCAUGAGAUCUUUGGAUGAAAGCGGGGGACCUUCGGGCCUCGUGCUACUGGAGCGGCCGAUAUCAGAUUAGGUUGUUGGUGGGGUAAAGGCCUACCAAGCCUGCGAUCUGUAGCUGGUCUGAGAGGACGACCAGCCACACUGGGACUGAGACACGGCCCAGACUCCUACGGGAGGCAGCAGUGGGGAAUUUUGGACAAUGGGCGCAAGCCUGAUCCAGCAAUGCCGCGUGCAGGACGAAGGCCUUCGGGUUGUAAACUGCUUUUGUACAGAACGAAAAGUCUCUGGCUAAUAUCUAGAGAUCAUGACGGUACUGUAAGAAUAAGCACCGGCUAACUACGUG
This 488-nucleotide ribosomal RNA is filed under the name uncultured bacterium. Its description in RNAcentral is "partial 16S ribosomal RNA". It matches the Rfam family "Bacterial small subunit ribosomal RNA", at positions 30 to 507 of the family's 1533-position model. The record is from RNAcentral.